UUAAGAAAGCAAGAGCGCACGGUGGAUGCCUAGGCACUAAUAGGCGAAGAAGGACGCGACUAACAGCGAAAUGCUACGGGGAGCAGUAAGUAGGCAAAGAUCCGUAGGUAUCCGAAUGGGGAAACCCACUAGUUAGAAGAGCUAGUAUCGUAUAAUGAAUACAUAGUUAUACGAGGCGAACCCGGGGAACUGAAACAUCUAAGUACCCGGAGGAAAAGAAAACAAAAGUAAUUCCCUAAGUAGAGGCGAUUGAAAGGGGAGGAGCCCAGCACCAAGAAGAGUUAGAAAAUCUUUUUAUAGUAGAAUUGUAUUGGAAAAGCAAGACAAAGAAGGUGAAAUCCCUGUAUACGAAAUAAAGAGAUCUCGGUGUCGGAGUAGGGCGGAGCACGAGGAAUUCUGUCUGAAGAAGUGAGGACCAUCUCAUAAGGCUAAAUACUCAUUAGUGACCGAUAGUGAACCAGUACUGUGAAGGAAAGGUGAAAAGAACCCCUGGCGGGGAGUGAAAAGAACCUGAAACCGUGUGCUUACAAACAGUUAGAGCCCGUCAAAGGGUGAUAGCGUGCCUUUUGUAGAAUGAGCCGGCGAGUUACGUUAAUGUGCGAGGUUAAGUUUUAAGGGACGGAGCCGAAGCGAAAGCGAGUCUGAAGAGGGCGGAAUAGUAGAUUGACGUAUACCCGAAACCGGGUGAUCUAGCCAUGAGCAGGUUGAAGCUUGGGUAAAACCAGGUGGAGGACCGAACCAGGGUCUGUUGAAAAAGACUUGGAUGACUUGUGGCUAGGGGUGAAAUUCCAAUCGAACCCGGAGAUAGCUGGUUCUCCCCGAAAUAGCUUUAGGGCUAGCGUUAUGGAGAAGAGUUAUACGAAGGUAGAGCACUGAAUGGGUGAGGGCCUCAUCUCGAGGUACUGAUCUCAAUCAAACUCCGAAUGUCGUAUAAUAUACAUAGCAGUAAGACUAUGGGUGAUAAGGUUCAUAGUCAAAAGGGAAACAGCCCAGACCGCCAGUUAAGGUCCCAAAAUUAUGCUAAGUGGGAAAGGAGGUGGAGUCGCAUAGACAACUAGGAGGUUGGCUUAGAAGCAGCCAUCCUUUAAAGAGUGCGUAAUAGCUCACUAGUCGAGUGAUUCUGCGCCGAAAAUGUAUCGGGGCUAAGCAUAAUACCGAAGCUGCGGAAUUAGGAAAGAAAGCCUAAUUGGUAGGGGAGCGUACUAAACACGAAGAAGGUUGACCGGGAGGGCAGCUGGAGAGUUUAGCAGUGAGAAUGCCGGUGUGAGUAGCGAUAAGAUGGGUGAGAAUCCCAUCCGUCGGAAGCCUAAGGGUUCCAGGGGUAAGGCUCGUCCGCCCUGGGUAAGUCGGGACCUAAGGUGAGGCCGAAAGGCGUAGCUGAUGGAUAUCAGGUUGAUAAUCCUGGACCACCAUAGAGCUGAAGGAGUGACGGAGGAGGGAAGUUAGGAUGGACUGGUGGAAUAGUCUAAUGAAGCACAAAGAGGGAUACGUAGGAAAAACCGCGUAUUAGAACCUUGAAGUGUAAACCGCAAGGCCUAAUGGACCACACUUCCAAGAAAAGCUUCUAGGAAUACUUUAUGGUGCCCGUACCGUAAACGGACACACGUAGGCGAGGAGAGAAUCCAAAGACGCGCGAGAUAAUUCUUGUUAAGGAACUCUGCAAAAUGACCCUGUAACUUCGGGAUAAAGGGGACUCUAGAGAUAGAGGCGCAGAAAAUAGGCCCAAGCGACUGUUUAACAAAAACAUAGGUUUCUGCUAAAGCGAAAGCUGAUGUAUAGGAGCUGACGCCUGCCCAGUGCUGGAAGGUUAAGAGGAGAUGUAAGUCGCAAGGCAAAGCAUUGAAUUGAAGCCCCAGUAAACGGCGGCCGUAACUAUAACGGUCCUAAGGUAGCGAAAUUCCUUGUCAGGUAAGUUCUGACCCGCACGAAAGGCGUAACGAUUUGGGCGCUGUCUCAACAAGAAACUCGGUGAAAUCAUAGUACCUGUGAAGAUGCAGGUUACCCGCGAUCAGACGGGAAGACCCCAUGGAGCUUCACUGCAGCUUAAUAUUGAUAUUGGGUGUGUGAUGUACAGGAUAGGUGGGAGACGAGGAAGCGAGUACGCUAGUAUUCGUGGAGUCAACGUUGGGAUACCACCCUUCAUACAUUUAGUAUCUAACUAGUAUCCAUGAGCUGGGUAUAGAACAGUGUUAGGUGGGCAGUUUGACUGGGGCGGUCGCCUCCCAAAGAGUAACGGAGGCGCCCAAAGGUUCCCUCAGAAUGGUUGGAAAUCAUUCAAAGAGUGCAAAGGCAGAAGGGAGCUUGACUGCGAGACGGACAGGUCGAGCAGGAACGAAAGUUGGGCUUAGUGAACCGGCUGUACUGAAUGGAAAGGCAGUCGAUCAACGGACAAAAGCUACCCUGGGGAUAACAGGCUGAUCUCCCCCAAGAGUUCACAUCGACGGGGAGGUUUGGCACCUCGAUGUCGGCUCGUCGCAUCCUGGGGCUGGAGAAGGUCCCAAGGGUUGGGCUGUUCGCCCAUUAAAGCGUCACGCGAGCUGGGUUCAGAACGUCGUGAGACAGUUCGGUCCCUAUCUGUCGUGGGCGUAGGAAAUUUGAAGGGAGUCGUCCCUAGUACGAGAGGACCAGGAUGAACGUACCGCUGGUGAAUCAGUUGGCCUGCCAGGGCCACAGCUGGGUAGCUACGUACGGCCGGGAUAAACGCUGAAAGCAUCUAAGCGUGAAGCCCCCCCUGAGAUGAGAUUUCCCAUUAGAGAUAAGUAAGACCCCUUAGAGAUGAUGAGGUAGAUAGGUCAGAGAUGUAAGCACUGUGAGGUGUUGAGUUGACUGAUACUAAUAGGUCGAGGACUUAACCUU
This 2856-nucleotide ribosomal RNA is filed under the name human gut metagenome. Its description in RNAcentral is "bacterial LSU rRNA". It matches the Rfam family "Bacterial large subunit ribosomal RNA". The record is from RNAcentral.